Molecule: ribosomal RNA, 223 nt
Filed under: uncultured bacterium
Lineage: Bacteria
Description: partial 16S ribosomal RNA
Rfam family: Bacterial small subunit ribosomal RNA
Source: RNAcentral
AGUAAUACAUCGGAACGUGUCUUCUAGUGGGGGAUAACUGCCCGAAAGGGCAGCUAAUACCGCAUGAGACCUGAGGGUGAAAGCGGGGGAGUCGCAAGACCUCGCGCUGGAGGAGCGGCCGAUGUCCGAUUAGCUAGUUGGUGAGGUAAAGGCUCACCAAGGCGACGAUCGGUAGCUGGUCUGAGAGGACGACCAGCCACACUGGGACUGAGACACGGCCCAG